This 168-nucleotide ribosomal RNA is filed under the name uncultured Hyphomicrobium sp. Its description in RNAcentral is "partial 16S ribosomal RNA". It matches the Rfam family "Bacterial small subunit ribosomal RNA", at positions 338 to 522 of the family's 1533-position model. Lineage: Bacteria; Pseudomonadati; Pseudomonadota; Alphaproteobacteria; Hyphomicrobiales; Hyphomicrobiaceae. The record is from RNAcentral.
UCUACGGGAGGCAGCAGUGGGGAAUAUUGGACAAUGGGCGAAAGCCUGAUCCAGCCAUGCCGCGUGAGUGACGAAGGCCUUAGGGUUGUAAAGCUCUUUUUGGCGGGGACGAUAAUGACGGUACCCGCAGAAUAAGCUCCGGCUAACUCCGUGCCAGCAGCCGCGGUA